Molecule: ribosomal RNA, 565 nt
Filed under: uncultured archaeon
Lineage: Archaea
Description: bacterial SSU rRNA
Rfam family: Archaeal small subunit ribosomal RNA
Source: RNAcentral
UGGUUGAUCCUGCCAGCGGCCACCGCUAUUGGAAUUCGAUUAAGACAUGCGAGUCGAGAGUCUUAAUGGACUCGGCGGACUGCUCAGUAACACGUGGAUAACAUGCCCUAGAGUGGAGGAUAAUCUCGGGAAAUUGAGGAUAAUACUCCAUAGAUCAUGAAUUCUGGAACGACUCAUGGUCGAAAGUUCCGGCGCUCUAGGAUUGGUCUGCGGCCUAUCAGGUAGUAGUGGGUGUAACGGACCCACUAGCCGACGACGGGUAUGGGCCUUGAGAGAGGGAGCCCAGAGAUGGAAUCUGAGACACGAUUCCAGGCCCUACGGGGCGCAGCAGUCGCGAAAACUUCACAAUGGAGGCAACUCCGAUGAGGGAAUUCCAAGUGCUAGCACAUUAGUGUUAGCUUUUCUUAAGCAUAGAUAACUUAAGGAAUAAGGGCUGGGUAAGACGGGUGCCAGCCGCCGCGGUAAUACCCGCAGCCCAAGUGGUGGUCGAUUUUAUUGAGUCUAAAACGUUCGUAGCCGGUUCAUUAAUCCUUGGGUAAAUCGGAUGGCUUAACUAUCCGAAUUC